This 1376-nucleotide ribosomal RNA is filed under the name uncultured bacterium. RNAcentral's name for it is "16S ribosomal RNA". It matches the Rfam family "Bacterial small subunit ribosomal RNA", at positions 30 to 1396 of the family's 1533-position model. The record is from RNAcentral.
UGAACGCUGGCGGUAUGCUUAACACAUGCAAGUCGAACGGAAACGAUACUAGCUUGCUAGUAGGCGUCGAGUGGCGGACGGGUGAGUAACGCGUAGGAAUCUGCCUGAUAGUGGGGGAUAGCCCGAAGAAAUUCGGAUUAAUACCGCAUAAUCUAUUCGUAGUAAAGUGGGGGACUUUCGAGCCUCACGCUAUCAGAUGAGCCUGCGUAAGAUUAGCUAGUUGGUAGGGUAAAAGCCUACCAAGGCAACGAUCUUUAGCUGGUCUGAGAGGAUGAUCAGCCACAUCGGGACUGAGACACGGCCCGAACUCCUACGGGAGGCAGCAGUGGGGAAUAUUGGACAAUGGGGGCAACCCUGAUCCAGCAAUACCGCGUGUGUGAAGAAGGCCUGAGGGUUGUAAAGCACUUUCAAUUGUGAAGAAAAGUUAACGGUUAAUAACCGUUAGCCUUGACGUUAACUUUAGAAGAAGCACCGGCUAACUCCGUGCCAGCAGCCGCGGUAAUACGGAGGGUGCAAGCGUUAAUCGGAAUUACUGGGCGUAAAGCGUGCGUAGGCGGUUUAUUAAGUCAGAUGUGAAAGCCCCGGGCUUAACCUGGGAACUGCAUUUGAAACUGGUCAACUAGAGUAUGGUAGAGGAAAGUGGAAUUUCUGGUGUAGCGGUGAAAUGCGUAGAUAUCAGAAAGGAACACCAAUGGCGAAGGCAGCUUUCUGGACCAAUACUGACGCUGAGGUACGAAAGCGUGGGUAGCAAACAGGAUUAGAUACCCUGGUAGUCCACGCCGUAAACGAUGAUAACUAGCCGUUGGAGGGAUUUACCCUUUAGUGGCGAAGCUAACGCGUUAAGUUAUCCGCCUGGGGAGUACGGCCGCAAGGUUAAAACUCAAAGGAAUUGACGGGGACCCGCACAAGCGGUGGAGCAUGUGGUUUAAUUCGAUGCAACGCGAAGAACCUUACCUGGUCUUGACAUCCUGCGAACUUUCUAGAAAUAGAUUGGUGCCUUCGGGAACGCAGUGACAGGUGCUGCAUGGCUGUCGUCAGCUCGUGUCGUGAGAUGUUGGGUUAAGUCCCGUAACGAGCGCAACCCCUAUCCUUAUUUGCCAGCACGUCAUGGUGGGAACUAUAAGGAGACUGCCGGUGAUAAACCGGAGGAAGGCGGGGACGACGUCAAGUCAUCAUGGCCCUUACGACCAGGGCUACACACGUGCUACAAUGGGAAGGACAAAGAGCCGCGAAGCCGCGAGGUGUAGCUAAUCUCAGAAACCUUUUCGUAGUCCGGAUUGGAGUCUGCAACUCGACUCCAUGAAGUCGGAAUCGCUAGUAAUCGUAGAUCAGAAUGCUACGGUGAAUACGUUCCCGGGUCUUGUACACACCGCCCG